CUUUCUCUCACUUUGGCACCUCCUUAUUUACUCCUACACCUAUCUACUAAUACACCCCCCCUAAGACUCUUAACUAAAGACUAAAAGAUGCUUUAACAAUAGAGGUUUCUAAUGUUUCCCUCUAAGCACCUUUCUAAACAAUAUUUAUUUAAAACUUGGCCUUGCCCUUCAUGGGAUGGUUUUUGGGCUUUUGUGGGCUUUGGCCUUCUUGGGCUUGGGCUUGGGCUUGGGCUUGGGCUUUAUCUUUUGCAAAGAUUAACAAGAAAAACUUUAAAUGUGAAGGCGAAUGAUCUUGUUCUUCAUUAUAAAAAGCCACCUUUAGUUGAUUCUCAUCA
RNAcentral lists this long non-coding RNA (335 nucleotides) under Phaseolus vulgaris (common bean). RNAcentral describes it as "long non-coding RNA (PVUL_LNC001712)". The record is from RNAcentral. Lineage: Eukaryota; Viridiplantae; Streptophyta; Magnoliopsida; Fabales; Fabaceae.